Long non-coding RNA from Sinocyclocheilus rhinocerous, 306 nucleotides. RefSeq lists it as uncharacterized. The transcript is spliced from 2 exons. Lineage: Eukaryota; Metazoa; Chordata; Actinopteri; Cypriniformes; Cyprinidae. The record is from RefSeq and is a predicted model, not a curated record.
CACUAUCCCAAGAGGAAGACUUCCUGCACAGGUGUGUGUGAGGAGGAGAAACACCCUGCAGUUCUCCCGGUCCAUGUUACCAGAUGAAUCCAUAAAACACAUUUCUCCACUAUUGGAGAGACUGUGUGUUUGUUUCAUCAACGGGGAACAAAUGGCUACAAGUGGUGUUCCUGCUGAAGAUAUUUUAAGCUUGGCGCAGGGAGAAAAUGGCAGCAAGAAGUCCAACAACAAACAGUAUGGACCACACAGAAAUCUGAUCUCACCAUCAGAGUCCAACAGGGAUUACAUGAAGAGACAAAAAAAAAA